GAAGUUCGCUUGGCGUUUAAUGUCAAAACCGAUCUGAAAAAGCUGGAGGACACCAUGAUCAGCAUUAAAGCUGUGCUCUUGGAUGCCGAGCGGCAACAGCACCAAAAUGAAAAGCUGCGCCUCUGUAUGUGGAAGCUCAGAAACAUCUUUUACGAUGCUGAGGACGUUAUUGACGAUUUCAAGUGUGAAGCUCUCCGCAAACAGGACGCCAUCAAUCAUCCCAAUAUCAACAACUUGAAGGUGCGAGUUUUAGGUUCCUUUUGUUUGCCUCUUUCAUUCUCUUUAAAAAUGAGUCAUAAAAUCAAAGACAUCAAUGGGAGACUAGGCGAACUUGCCACUGAGUGGAACAGCUUUGAUCUAAGACAGUGUGACGACAGCAGACAUGUUUUUCGCAGAGAGACCAUCUCUUUUGUGGAUUCUUCUGAUGUUAUUGGUAGCGAUGAGGAUAAAGAGAACAUUAUUAGUAUGUUGAUGAAACCAAGUGAGGAUCGAAAUGUCCCUGUCAUUCCCAUUGUUGGAAUUGGGGGUUUAGGAAAAACCACACUCGCGCAAUUUGUAUACAAUGAUGAUCGAGUUACUAGCCUUUUUCCUUUGAAGAUAUGGAUCUGUGUUUCUGAGGAAUUUGAUCUUUCUAGAUUGCUCAAGCUGAUUAUUCAGUCUAUAAAUAAAGAAGAAAAUUGUGAUGAUUUAACACUUGAAGCAGUGCACGCUUGUUUAAGAGGCCUUUUGAAUGAUAAGAAGUUCUUGCUCGUCCUGGAUGAUGUGUGGAAUGAAAAUCAAGCAAAAUGGGUUGAGUUAAGAAAUUUGUUGAGAUCAACGGAUGGAUUUUCUCCAAGCAAAAUCAUUGUCACUACUCGUAGUUUGAAAGUUGCUUCGAUGAUGAGUUCGAUUCCCUCUUAUAUGUUGGAAGGUUUCUCUCUUGAUGACUGUUUGACCUUGUUUACAAAAUGGGCUUUUAAUGAUGGUGAUGAGAGACAUCAUCCAAAUCUCACUAGAAUCGGAGAGGAGAUUGUGAAAAAAUGCAAAGGAGUUCCUUUGGCACUAAGAACAUUGGGAAGCCUACUGUUUCAGAAAACUGAUGAAUCUGAUUGGAUCUAUAUAAGAGAGAGUGAAAUAUGGACACUUCAGCAACAUGAAAAUGAUAUUUUACCAGAGUUGAAGUUGAGUUACAAGCAUUUGCCAUCUCAUUUGCAACGAUGUCUUGCUUUUUUGUCCUUGUACAAAAAGGAUGAGAUCUAUUAUAGUGACAAAGUCAUCCGUCUCUGGAUGGCAAAUGGACUUCUUGAGUAUCCAAACCAAAAUCAAGAGUGGGAGGAUGUUGGCGAACGAUAUUUGAAUGAAUUACUGUCAAGGUGUCUCAUCCAAAAAGAGAAGGAUUUUUGCUUGUAUUUUACCUUCACAAUGCAUGAUUUGGUACAUGAUCUUGCAUUAGAUGUGUCUCAAAAAGAGUGUAAAAUUGUGAAUUCCGAAACAGAAACGGUUGAUGAAAAUGUUCGACAUUAAUUAUUAUGUGAAGAGAAGUUGGUUGAAGUUCCACGUAUUUUGGAGGAAAUAAAAAAGGUUCAAACCAUAAUCAUCCAAGAUGCUUCAGUGAAAUCAAAGGUUAUUCAUGAAUCACUUAUAAAUCUGUGUUUCUCCAAGUUCAAGUAUCUACGAGCACUAGAGUUAAGGAAUUCACCAUUGACGGCUUUACCGAAUUCUAUUGGUACCUUGAGGCACUUACGAGACCUUGACUUGGCCAGAUGUGAGGGUAUACGUGAACUUCCGAGGUCUUUCUAUAAGCUUCGCAGCUUGCAAUCAUUAAAUUUGGGAGGUACUGGUUUGAAGCAGUUGCCUGACAGCGUGCAAAGGUUGAUUGAGCUUAGACAUCUAGAAAUAACCGUUACAGCUGAGCAUUUGAAAGAAAUACGAGCAGGAUGUUGGACUUCUCUUCAAUACUUGAAAUUGAAUUGGUGUAUCGGAUUAGAAUGUUUACCUGAAGGAAUGCAGUAUCUGAAGUCACUUCGAACACUUGUCCUCUUCCGCUGUGGUAGCCUUGUCUCAUUGCCACGGAGCCUGAAAUUCCUAACCAAGUUAGAACACCUUGAAAUAGUGAGGUGCUUUCGAAUCAAUUUGAAAAUGGAACUAGAAGAGGAAGAAGACAAAGACCUUCAGUUGAGCCUUAAAACUUUCUCACUCUUGGGAUUAGAUGACUUAGGAGAUUUGCCACGAUUGCUUCUUCAAGGAUCUUCUUCCACUUUGCAGCAAUUACGAAUUAAGCAUUGUUUAGAAUUGUCCGUUCUACCAGUGUGGCCACUGAAUCUCACUUCUCUUCGUGAACUUGAGAUUUCUAGUUGCCACUAUUUGUCAGCUCUACCGGAGGGAAUAGACCGCCUCACCAACCUUCGAAAAUUGACAAUUCGCGGAUGUCCGGAGUUGAGCAAAAGAUACAGAAAAAAUAGGGGUGAAGAUUGGCACAAAAUUGCUCACAUCCGAAAGGUUGUUAUUAAGGAUUAAAAUUGAGGUAUGUGCUAAAAUUUUUAAUUUCUCUAUCCGAUUUGAUUUCAUAUUAUCUUUCCCUCUUUUUGAGUAGAGACCUGUUCUUCCCACGGAAGACUUUUACUUUAUUUGCAUUUAGAUUUUACAGUUUAGAGUUGUAAUUUUGAUAAGCGAGCUUUUGCUUUGGAUAUUUCAAAUGGCUUAAUGCUAUGGAUUGUAACUUUUAACUUGUAAUGUUUGUGUGAUGUUGUUGGGAUGGAUGCAUAUAAGUAAGGAAUAGAAACGAAAAAGAGAAAAAAAAAAUUGGGCAUAUAAAUUUUUACGUGAAAAAAUUUCUCGGAUGAAGAGAUCAAAAACAAUUUCACUAAGCAACAAAUCAACAAAGAUUACAAGACUUUAGAACUAUGAAAAUUAAAAAUAAAUAAAUAUAUAUUUUAAAAAUCUAAAAAAGAACAUUGGCAUAUCUAUAUUAAAUACGUAUCGAAAUUAAAUCUGAAUGAAAAACUACAUAAAUCUUAACUUAAAUAAAAUGUUCAAAAGCAUAUCAUAUUUCGAUUAACGAAAUCACCAUUAUAUUAUCAAAUUAAGAUUAAUGCAUUUUUUCGUUAACUUAAAAAUUACAAUAAUACCUGCAUCCAAAUUCUGCAUAUGAUUAUAGAAUGAUUUAUAAAAAUUCUAAGAUAAUAAAGUUGACAUGAUAAUUCUAAGAUAAUUCAAUCGAUUAUAUCUGCAAUUAGAGAUAGAAAUGUACAUACAAGUUCAUUUGUAAUUAUUUUUACAUAGAUCAAUUUAAUUAAAUCGAUUAGUUCUAUAAUGUAAUCAAUUCAAUUAAAUCAAUAAUUAAUCGAUUAGUUCUAUAAUGUAAUCAAUUCAAUUAUUCAAUUCAACUCGUAAUUAAAGGAAAUUACAAUAUUACAAUCAAUAGAGAAAUCUACCACUAAUAAAUACUCCUAAAAUUACUUAUACACCAUCACAAAUACAUUCAUAUAUUUGAUUGAUUCAAUAAUGAUUUUAUGAUUAACCUUAUAUUUCACUCAAUUACGUUUUUAAAUUGUUUAAUACUCUUAAAAUUACUUGUACAUCACUAAUUGUACAUAAAUUAUUUGAUUUACAGUUUAUUUUAAUUUAAUAUAAUAUUUCGAAAAGUUUACAAAAUAAUAAAUGAUAAAUAAUAUUAAACUUGGAAUGCAAAGUGAUAAUACGUCCAAUUUACAUGUUUAUGAUGUUUAAUUUUGAUAAAAUUCUUGAACGAGAUGCUACUAAUUUUAGACUUGUUAUUUGAUUUUUUAUUAGGUGCAAAAGUAAACCCGGGAAGUAAAAAAAAAGUCGAAAAUGUGGGCUAUCGUAAAAUUUUUGAGCCAAAGAACGAGUUGAUGGAUAAUGAUCUAUUUUGAGAACUUUUAUUUUUAGAUUUAUUUGUAAAAUAAAUACUUUUAAUUUCCAUUAGGAUAUUAUUUUAUUUUUCUAGGAUUUUAUCUUUAAGAUAAUUUAUUUAUUUUUUAUUGUUUUAUCUUUUGUCUUAUUUUUAGAUAAGUAGAAUUAGGGUUUAUUUUUCUAGUAUAGAAGGGAGGAUGGAAUGGGGAAUUCUCAAUUCUGUUUUAACUCUUUUCUUUACUUGCGUAUUAUUGCGCCAUUUACCCUUUUGUUUCUUUCUUAUAUUUUCUUUACUUUAUUGCGAGUAACUAAAUUUUCCAUUUAGCUUUAUGUUGAUAAACAAUCUUACAGAUAGCUGUGAGAUCUGAAUCCGCUCUUUAAAACCUUUAUUCCGGUAUUUGUUGUUUUUUUGGUUUAGGAGAUAGGCUCCGUCAUCUCACAGAGUUGUAUUGACACUAAGUCAAAAAUAAAAUAUUAAUACUAAUACUAAAAAUGAAAGUAACAAAUUGAUAAUAUUAGGUGUAAUGGUAAUACACAUUAUACUUCUAACAGAAUUUUAAUUUUAAUCUUAAAAAUAAUAUUAUUAGGACUAAUCAAGGAUCUUGAAGGAUUAGUAUUUUUGGACUGUUAAAUAGAUUAAUUUAGUAAAAAAAAUAAUGAAGAGUAACCAUAAGGCAAAAUCUUAUUCUUACUAUGAACUUUAUAAGCCAGAUUUGUUUAUUUUUCUAAUAAUUUUGCUGUUUAUAUUUAAAAUUUAUGACUGCUAUUAAAGUGAGUUCAUGUUGCCUCUCUAUAAAAUUACACUUCCCCUAUAAUAUAUAUAUAUAAGAUUUGAUAAUUUCUAUUUAUUUAGAUUUGAAAAUGUUGAUUGAGUCAUUGAUCCUGUUUAUUUUCGAUUAAUGCUUAAUGUUACUUAUGUGGAAUUAUGAUGUACAUUUAUAUUUCCAUGGGACUACUCUUAAUUGGGCCAUGGUGGCUUGUUGGAACAAUAUUUUCAAAACCAAUAAAAUAUAGAGAGGUUGAAUGUGUAAAAAUUAAAGUAUAAAAAAUAGAUUAAAAUUUUUGAAAGAAUAUUUAUUUCUUUCCUAUAAGAUUUCAAGGAUUUUAUUUAGCAGGUUAAGUCACAGGUACGUCAAGUAAAGCCAAUCAAAAUGCCAGAUAUUUGGUGGAAACUUCGAUUUGUUCAAAAAUUUAUUAUUCCCCAGAACAAGAAGGUUUGUUCUUUUUUUUUUUUUUUCAGAUUUUGGGCUACAACAAGUUCUUUGUUUGAUUUCUUACCACAAAAAAAAAGAAGAAAAAGAGAAAAAAAAAAAAAGAAGGGUCUUUCUUGAAUGCUGUACUGCCUUCUUCGCUCUUGAAAUUCAAUUAUGGCGGAAACGUUUCUGUUCGAUAUUGCAGAAAGGGUUCUCGCCAAUAUUGUCCAUUUCUCUGUAGACGAAGUUCGCUUGGCGUUUAAUGUCAAAACCGAUCUGGAAAAGCUGGAGGACACCAUGAUCAGCAUUAAAGCUGUGCUUUUGGAUGCCGAGAACCAAAAUGAAAAGCUGCGCCUCUGUAUGUGGAAGCUCAGAGACAUCUUUUACGAUGCUGAGGACGUUAUUGACGAUUUCAAGUGUGAAGCUCUCCGCAAACAGGACGCCUUCAAUCAUCCCAACAUCAACAACUUAAAGGUGCGAGUUUUAGGUUCCUGUUGUUUGCCUCUUUCAUUCUCUUUAAAAAUGAGUCAUAAAAUCAAAGAC
Molecule: long non-coding RNA, 5588 nt
Filed under: Gossypium barbadense (sea-island cotton)
Lineage: Eukaryota; Viridiplantae; Streptophyta; Magnoliopsida; Malvales; Malvaceae
Description: long non-coding RNA (GBAR_LNC022751)
Source: RNAcentral